CGGGUCAUGGCUGAGUGGUUAUAGCGCUUUCGUUGGGUGAAGGUUUUCCUAUGUUCGAAUCAUAGUGACCCGA
Molecule: transfer RNA, 73 nt
Filed under: Hirsutella minnesotensis
Lineage: Eukaryota; Fungi; Ascomycota; Sordariomycetes; Hypocreales; Ophiocordycipitaceae
Description: tRNA-Pro
Rfam family: tRNA
About the family: Transfer RNA (tRNA) molecules are approximately 80 nucleotides in length. Their secondary structure includes four short double-helical elements and three loops (D, anti-codon, and T loops).
Source: RNAcentral